RNAcentral lists this RNase P RNA (448 nucleotides) under Candidatus Poribacteria bacterium. Its description in RNAcentral is "RNase P RNA component class A". It matches the Rfam family "Bacterial RNase P class A". From Rfam's summary of the family: Ribonuclease P (RNase P) is a ubiquitous endoribonuclease, found in archaea, bacteria and eukarya as well as chloroplasts and mitochondria. Its best characterised activity is the generation of mature 5'-ends of tRNAs by cleaving the 5'-leader elements of precursor-tRNAs. Lineage: Bacteria; Candidatus Poribacteria. The record is from RNAcentral.
UGAGUUGAGUAGAUGAUCGCGUCCCAAAUCCGUUGUGAUGGGAUGAGGAAAGUCCGGACUCCACAGGGCAGGAUGCUGGGUAACUCCCAGGAGCGGUGACGCUAUGGAAAGUGCAACAGAAAGUAGACUACAUCGUUCACUCUCUAUUGGUAAGCGCGGUGACAAACCGCGCCUACCGAAAAAAAAUGGACUCCAUGGGUAGGCGCGCUUUUAAAGCGCGCUUACCGGGGGAAAUUGAACGGUGUACAGGUGAAACGGUGCGGUAAAAGCGCACCAGUCCAUAAGGUGACUUAUGGAGCUCGGUAAACCCCAUCUGGAGCAAGGUAAAAUGAGGACAUGCAAGGGUGUGCCCGCUUCGUCCCCAGGUAACCGCUAGAGGUGAAUGGUAACAUUCAUCCGAGAUGAAUGAUCAUCGUAUACAGAAUCCGGCUUAUUCUCAACUCAAGCC